UACGGGGGGAGCAAGCGUUGUUCGGAUUUACUGGGCGUAAAGGGCGCGUAGGCGGUCGUGACAAGUCACUUGUGAAAUCUCCGGGCUUAACUCGGAACAGUCAAGUGAUACUGUCGGACUAGAGUACAGAAGGGGCAACUGGAAUUCUCGGUGUAGCGGUGAAAUGCGUAGAUAUCGAGAGGAACACCUGCGGCGAAGGCGGUUGCCUGGAGCUUUGCUGACGCUGAUGCGCGAAAGCGUGGGGAGCGAUCCGG
RNAcentral lists this ribosomal RNA (254 nucleotides) under uncultured bacterium. RNAcentral's name for it is "partial 16S ribosomal RNA". It matches the Rfam family "Bacterial small subunit ribosomal RNA", at positions 524 to 776 of the family's 1533-position model. The record is from RNAcentral.